AUCCAGAUGAUAAGUCCCAAAUAGGACAAAAUACGUAUCCUAGAU
Molecule: non-coding RNA, 45 nt
Filed under: Schistosoma margrebowiei
Lineage: Eukaryota; Metazoa; Platyhelminthes; Trematoda; Strigeidida; Schistosomatidae
Source: RNAcentral